This is a long non-coding RNA of Leucoraja erinaceus (little skate), 6156 nucleotides long. RefSeq lists it as uncharacterized. The transcript is spliced from 3 exons. The record is from RefSeq and is a predicted model, not a curated record. Lineage: Eukaryota; Metazoa; Chordata; Chondrichthyes; Rajiformes; Rajidae.
GACACUUCACACUGCCUCGGCCAGCAUAAUCAAAGACCAGUCUCACCCCGGUCACUCCCUCUUCUCCCCACUCCCAUCAGGCAAGAGGUCCAGAAGUGUGAAAACACAUACCUCCAGAUUUCUUACCGGCUGUUGUCAGGCAACUGAACCAUCCUCUCAUCAACUAGAGAGCGGUCCUGACCUCCCAUCUACCUCAUUCGAGACAGUUGAACUACCUUUAAUGAACUUUAGACACAAAAUGCUGGAGUAACUCAGCGGGUCAGACAGCAUCACUGGAGAGAAGGAUUGGGCUUUAAUGAAGUCAUUUAAUAAAUAAUGAAGUCAUUUAAUAAAGUCGUGAAGUCAUUAAAUGAAGUUCAUUAAAGCCCAAUUUUGGGGCAUUAAAGUUUUCUUUGACUGGACAGCACGCAACAAAAGUUUUUCACUAUUCACGGUGCAAUCAUAAACUAAACUAAACUAAGAUGUAAUUUUGAAUACUACAUUAUGUUUUUUCCCUCUUUUGCGCUACCUUCAUUGAUGUUAUAAUCUGCCAGGUUGGAAAGCAAAAGGUUUUUCACCGUAUCUUGGGACACAUGACAAUAAUAACAAACCGAAAGCUAAUAUAAACGGCUAAUAUAAACGGCUUGAAGAAGGGUUUCGGCCCGAAACGUCGCCUAUUUCCUUCGCUCCAUAGAUGCUGCUGCACCCGCUGAGUUUCUCCAGCAUUUUUGUGUACCAGCUAAUAUAAACGUACAGGUGCUGUAGGUAUUGUGUAGGUAUAUGUAUCUGCGAAUACAUUUACUCCUGUAGAUGGCGCUGUUGUAGUAGGUACUGUCAAUGUCAAGGAUGCCACAAGGCAGUUGCUACAGUAUUUUAUAAUCUAAUUCCCCAUGCAAUUAUUAGAUUUUUUUAAAUUGUAGCAACUUCCAGUGAUAUUUCUGAUGCCCAAAAUAAAGACUGAACUAAAUAAUUGUUAAAAAGAAACAAAAAUGACAGAUUUUGUAACAAUGUGAUAACGUUUAUUAUUCAAUUUGUCUCUUCACAAGAAUACAAAACAAAGAAGGAAUGGGGCCUUCAAACCAGGUUUCACUUCUUCCUCUGUGCCAAUUCCCCAUAGCCCUCAAAUCCCUCAUCUUUCAAAAAUGCAUCUACCUUCUCUUUGAAGACUUCUAAUGAGUUAGCCCCACUGCUCUCUGGAAGUUUCCAGAGAUUCACCACCUUCUGCUGGAAGAAAUGUCUACACAUCUGGAUUUCUAAAUAUCCAGCCCAUUGUAAUUAUUUCCCCUUGUUCAAAACUCUCCCACUGGUGGAAACAUCUCCACAUUUAACUUGUCACGCCAUCUUGCGAUCUUACAUGCUUCAAUGACUCGAUGACUCAGUAAUAAUGCCACCACACAUUCUUCUAAACUCUAAACAAUACCUACACAACCUGUUUAGUCUCACAAUAGGGCAAUCUGCUCUUCCCAAUAAUUAAUGUAGUAAAUCUCUUUUGGACUGCCUCCAAUGUUAUUAUAUUCUGUGUACAGUACUCCAGGUGUGGCCACAGCAACACUCUGUACAAUGGAAAUAAAGCGUCCCUAUUUCUAAUCUCUUCCCCUUUGAAAGAAAGGCCAGUAUGUCUGAAGAAGGGUCCUGACCCAAAACGUCACCUAUCCAUGUUUUCCAAGGAUGCUGCCUGACCCAAUGAGAUAUCCAGCAUUUUGUGUCCUUACCAGACCAAUAUAUCAUUUACUUUCAUGCCUAACAUUUUGUUAUUUCAUACACUAGAACACCUUGAUCUCUCUGAACUUCACUUAUUUGCACCCUCUAUCCCUUUAGACAAUAACCCACUUUUGGAUUCCUCUUAUGGAAGUGCAUGACCUCACACGAUCUCACAUUGAACUCCAUUUACCACGUUUUCAUCCACUUAAUCAGUCUGCCUGAAUCCCGUUGUAGAGUCACAAUAUCCAUUUCACAGCUUGCCAUUCCACCUAUUUGCGUGUUACUUCUUCAGGCCUUCAUUAAAGAUUAUAACAGUUUUUACUGAGGUUUUAGCUUGAAGGAUUUGCUUGAAGUCUGGCUCCUUCUGAAGCAACCUCGUCUGCCCAUUCCCUCCACAGACACUGCCUGACCCGCCGAGUUCCUCCAACACUGGUUUUCUCAAGAUUCCAGCCACUGCAGUCUCGUGUAUCUUCAGCUUCUAAUAGAUGUUUGUUGCUCACUUCUUUCCUGAAAUGGAGACAGAGAGAUCCAGAAAGGGAAAAGAAGAAUCAGAGAUGGAAGAAUCAGUCUGAAGAAGCAGUCCGUCCAUUCCCUAAAAUGGCAGAUACUGCCUGACCUGCUGUGUACCCCCAGCACUUUGAGUUUCUACCUUCUGCUCUUGUCCUUCUUGGUCGUAGGGAUUGCAGGGAGAGGAGGUUUUGUCUGGAUAGUUCCCAACGAGCUGUGAAUGUGACAGCAUUUUAUUGAACAAGCCGUUUUUACCCACACUUAUAGCAUAACUGAAAAUGAUUAUGCACCUGUACAUGUGAAGGAUGGAAUUGCAGAUGCUGGUUUAAACCGAAGAUAGACACAAAAUGCUGGAGUAAUUCAGCGAGACAGACAGAUGCUGCCUGUCCUGCAGAAUUACUCCAGCAUUUUGUGUCUAUAUGCACCUAUACAUUCCUGCCUAGUCUGAAAGCAGCAUUGCACUAAAACAAGGGUUCCCAACCUGGGGUAAAUUUAUCCCCAGAGGGUAAAUUUGUUGAUUCUGGAUUUGUACAUUUUAUUUUCUCAUUGACUGACUGUGUUUGGUUCUGUUCAUUAGUCGUUCAUGAAUAAGUGAAAUAACAUUGUUAAGUGCUAUUAAAGUUGCCAGGGGUAAACGGGACGAAAUAGGUUGGGAACCCCUGCACUAAAAUAUUUACAAGAUAAUUACAUAGUAGCAAAAAUGUCAGCAAUUUAAUGUUAUAAAUACUUAGACAAAGAUUGAUUCUAUCCCAAAGGACAUCUGAAGAAAACAGUAGUUUCCAGAUAAACAGCUUACAUGUACAAUCAUAGAAUCAUUCCAGCUCUUGUGUCUAAAUUACCUAUCUUAUUCAUGUUGGCCCUUGAUAAGCUGAAAUUUCCUGUCUCUUUCCACAUCGCCUUGUAAAUUAUUUCUGUCAAGUGCGUAUCCAUUUCCCUUUUGAAAACCCUAAUUGACUUUGUUUCCUUCAUCCUGAAAGACAGUGGGCUCUAGAUUAUCACAGUGUCUUCAAAAGAAAAUGUUCCCUCGCACCCCCGAGAUCACUUUUCACCUUAAAUCUGUGUUCAUGUUUUUUUGGAAAGGAGAGGUGCAGUUUUGGGUCGGGACCAAGAAGAGUCUCGACCUGGAAUGUCACCGAUCCAUGUUCUUCAGAAAUGCUCCCUGAACCGCCUCUGAAUUACUCCAGCACUUUUGUGUCCUCUCUCGUGCCCUGGCAUCUAUACGCUCUAAUUAGCUUGGGAUGUACUGUUUUCUCAAGGCUAGGUUAUGAAGCAUUUAUCAUCAGGUUUAUUGAUAUUUAGUAGCAUCUCCUCCUUCCCUCACUAUUUAAUACAUAUCCGAUCAGGACAGAGAAUAGUGGGUAGUAGUUUUUUGUGGCAAUUCUCUCGGUUUUGAUGAGUGGCUAAAGGAAAAUGGUAUAUCCGGUUUAAAAAAGAAAAGUAACAUCUGUUGCUUGGGAGGACAAUGUAGCGUUAUGGGAGUGUAGGUUAUGUAGCGAUUGUACAGGAUUGAUGUUUACAUCAGUUAAUGGUACUUUGUCACCCUCUAGUGCUCGCUGUUGGAGAACACUGGUGAUAUAGUGACACAAGGAACUGCAGAUGCUGGAAUAGAGUUAUACAGUAUGGAAACAGGCUCUUCAGCCCAACUUGCCCACUCUGACCAAGAAGAAUCACAGCUGGACCAGAAAUAUGACUGGCAGCCCACCAUAAUGAUGAGGAGCAGGAGCAAUGACAGGAAGGAGUGGAAAGGCAAGCCGGAAGCCCACCCUCACAGAUUGACCUUGGCUGGGAACCUGGGGCUCAACAAAAUUGUUCCCAAUUGGGCCCCGCAUGUCCGAAGGCUGGCCCUGCCGACGCCUCCCCUUCCUCAGAAGGCUACGGAAAUUCAGCAUAUCUCGAACGACUCAUGCUAAACUGAUAACAAAGACCCUGUGCUCUGCGGUCUACUCUCAGGACACACACACAGACAAACACCAACUGCUGCUGGAAGACAAUCAAUCCAGUGGUGGAUGCCCCUCUGUUUCUGCCUGAAAUCACUGGUGUUCCAGUACAAGGAGCUGUCUGCAACUGAAUGCUGCCGCCUGGCUCGCUCCAAGGCCCAGGAGUACCUGCUGAGGGACGCGCUGAAGCUCUGACCAGCCACGGUGUGGGACUGACCACGGGUAUAGGGUUCACUCCACACCGACGGGCCAGACCCUAUGUAAUAAAAACACUCCUGACACGGCUCACGAAAUGUGCGCUCGGGGAAAAUUGACAUAAUGUUGCUGGAAUGUGAAUCUUGUGUGUAAAUAGAAUUCUCUCCCUUGUACUGUGAAUGGUGACAUGUGAGGUGUGGUGACUAAUAUAUUGCUAAUUUUAUGAAUAAAGGGCAUUCAUCAACCAUGGUCUCGAUGAAUGGCACAGCAGACUGGAUGGGCUGAUUGACCAACUCCUAUUUAUUUUGUUCUUCUCGUGUUCAUAUUUUUUGGGGGGAAAGGUUGCUUUCACUUGUGUUGCUUUUCAACCUCACCAGCCCUUAGACCCAAUCUUAACUUUCAACCAACAAAAAAAGAAAACUCCAUGCUGUAUUUUAGUAACACUUGCAAUGCUCGUGUGGUAGAUACUGUAGAUACAUAGAUACAUAGAAAAUAGCUGCAGGAGUAGCCCUUUGAGCCAGCACUGCCAUUCAAUGUGAUCAUGGCUGAUCAUCCACAAUCAGUACCCCGUUCCUGCCUUCUCCCCAUAUCCCUUGAUUCUGCUAGCCCUAAGUGCUCUAUCUAACUCUCUUUUGAAUCGGCCUCUACUGCCUUCUGAGGUGUUGCUGGUGGGUGUGAACUCAACUGCUAAUCAUGUAUUUACCACUGAUGUCACUGUUCAGGGUAUUCCCAAUAGGGAAGCUAUUGAACUGGGCAAUCCUGGUAAUGAUAGUUGUCUGUGUACUUCUGGCCCCUCUCUCUCUCUUGAGUGCGUGUUAAGGGCCUGUCCCACUUGGGCGACCUAAUCCGCGAGUUUUGGCGAGUUUACACUCGACUCAUACUCGCAGCAUGGUCGACACGAGGUCGUAGGAGGUCUUCAUAACUCUCCAUCAUGCUCGAGAGUGGUCUCCGCGUACUCGAGGCCUCAGCUAGGUCGCGGCGUUUUUUUCAACGUUAAAAAAUGCUUGCGAGUAAAAAAAGGUCGCCGUGGAAAAUAUCGAUACUCGUAGGUUUAGUCAUAGUAGGCCAUAGUAGGUCGGCAUGUUAGUCGUAGGUAAUCGAGGGUAGUCGAAGGUAGUCGUAGAUAGUCUUCAUCAUAGUCGAAGGGAGGUCGAAGGAGGUCGUCUUCACUCUCCACUUUUCCCAAUGUGCCCAAUGUUUCCCGGGUGUCCAAUUUUCCUGAAGUUAGUUGUAGCUAGUCGAAGCUGGUCUUCUACAUAGUCGAAGGAGGUCUUCUACAUGUCAUUUUUUCAAACUCUUCUAAACUCGCCAAUUAGGUCGCCCAAGUGGGACAGCCCCUUUAGAUGGAGAUGGGACAGACAUGUGACCUCCACGUUUCCUGGAACGUCGAGAAGGACGCAAGAGCGACACUGAUAGAUACACCUAUCUAUCUUCACAAUAGACAGAGGGGUGGGGGUGGCGAGGAACAGAACUGGGAAUUACGCAGGGAUCACUCGGAAACUUUGAGGAGUUUAAGGGAGACAAAGAAACUGCAGAUGUUGGAAUCUUGAUCAAAACAGUUUAAGGGAUUACUUCCAUCGUGAAUGCAAAUUAUAAAUGUUCCCCCCCCAUCUGAUUGUCAUUCGCUGUUGUUUUCUCAAUAUUUUGUUGUGUGCUUGCACCUUGCUCUCUCCGCUACGUUAAACUCGUUCCCCAUACUUCCUUACUCAGUGACCCCUUCAAAUCCCGUGAACCUUUGAGACCUUUCUGCUUCUCCACACCAGACCUCUUCAUCGUUCCCACUAGCCGCAGCUGGCGGCUUCAAUUCCCCGUGCCUAGCGCUCUGGAAUUCACUCGA